RNAcentral lists this ribosomal RNA (475 nucleotides) under uncultured soil bacterium. Its description in RNAcentral is "bacterial SSU rRNA". It matches the Rfam family "Bacterial small subunit ribosomal RNA", at positions 26 to 518 of the family's 1533-position model. The record is from RNAcentral.
AGGACGAACGCUGGCGGCGUGCUUAACACAUGCAAGUCGAACGGAAAGGCCCUGCUUUUGUGGGGUGCUCGAGUGGCGAACGGGUGAGUAACACGUGAGUAACCUGCCCUUGACUUUGGGAUAACUUCAGGAAACUGGGGCUAAUACCGGAUAGGAGCUCCUGCUGCAUGGUGGGGGUUGGAAAGUUUCGGCGGUUGGGGAUGGACUCGCGGCUUAUCAGCUUGUUGGUGGGGUAGUGGCUUACCAAGGCUUUGACGGGUAGCCGGCCUGAGAGGGUGACCGGCCACAUUGGGACUGAGAUACGGCCCAGACUCCUACGGGAGGCAGCAGUGGGAAUAUGCACAAUGGCGGAAGCCUGAUGCAGCAACGCCGCGUGCGGAUGACGGCCUUGGGUGUAACCGCUUUCGCUGUGACGAAGCGUGGUGACGGUAAGUGGGUAAAGAAGCGACCGGACUAACGUACGUGCCAGCAGCGC